GGGGCUUUAGCUCAGCCGGGAGAGCGUUUGACUGGCAGUCAAAAGGUCAGGGGUUCGAUCCCCCUAAGCUCCACCA
RNAcentral lists this transfer RNA (76 nucleotides) under Eubacteriales Family XIII. Incertae Sedis bacterium. Its description in RNAcentral is "tRNA-Ala". It matches the Rfam family "tRNA". Rfam says of the family: Transfer RNA (tRNA) molecules are approximately 80 nucleotides in length. Their secondary structure includes four short double-helical elements and three loops (D, anti-codon, and T loops). Further hydrogen bonds mediate the characteristic L-shaped molecular structure. tRNAs have two regions of fundamental functional importance: the anti-codon, which is responsible for specific mRNA codon recognition, and the 3' end, to which the tRNAs corresponding amino acid is attached (by aminoacyl-tRNA synthetases). tRNAs cope with the degeneracy of the genetic code in two manners: having more than one tRNA (with a specific anti-codon) for a particular amino acid; and 'wobble' base-pairing, i.e. permitting non-standard base-pairing at the 3rd anti-codon position. Lineage: Bacteria; Bacillati; Bacillota; Clostridia; Peptostreptococcales; Anaerovoracaceae. The record is from RNAcentral.